RNAcentral lists this ribosomal RNA (808 nucleotides) under uncultured bacterium. RNAcentral describes it as "bacterial SSU rRNA". It matches the Rfam family "Bacterial small subunit ribosomal RNA", at positions 8 to 796 of the family's 1533-position model. The record is from RNAcentral.
AGAGUUUGAUCCUGGCUCAGAAUGAACGCUGGCGGCGUGCUUAACACAUGCAAGUCGAACGAGGCUGGGGGGGCAACUCUCCAGUUGAGUGGCGGACGGGUGAGUAACACGUGGGUAACCUGCCCGGAAGUGGGGAAUACCUCGGGGAAACUCGAGCUAAUACCGCAUGACAUCUUUGGGACGAGAGUCCUGACGAUCAAAGCGGGGUCGCAAGAUCUCGCGCUACCGGAUGGGCCCGCGCCCGAUUAGCUAGUUGGCGAGGUAACGGCUCACCAAGGCUUCGAUCGGUAGCCGGCCUGAGAGGGCGAUCGGUCACACCGGAACUGAGACACGGUCCGGACUCCUACGGGAGGCAGCAGUGGGGAAUCUUGCGCAAUGGGCGAAAGCCUGACGCAGCAACGCCGCGUGGAGGAUGAAGGCCCUUGGGUUGUAAACUCCUGUCGGCUGGGAAGAAAUCGCGCGGUGCUCAUACCAUCGCGCGUUGACUGUACCAGCAAAGGAAGCCCCGGCUAACUCUGUGCCAGCAGCCGCGGUAAUACAGAGGGGGCUAGCGUUAUUCGGAAUUAUUGGGCGUAAAGGGCGCGUAGGCGGCCCAGCGUGUCUUCCGUGAAAUCCCUCGGCUUAACUGAGGACGUGCGGAAGAAACUGCGGGGCUCGAGUCCGGGAGAGGGGGGUGGAAUUCCCAGUGUAGCGGUGAAAUGCGUAGAUAUUGGGAGGAACACCGGUGGCGAAAGCGGCCCCCUGGACCGGUUCUGACGCUGAGCGCGAAAGCGUGGGUAGCAAACGGGAUUAGAUACCCCGGUAGUCC